ACAUGGGUUCAAGUUUUGCCUUUGAUGUUUAUUACUAUUGUCACUUUAGACAAAUCAAUAACUCCUCUGGGUCUUGGUAUCUUUAAUUGUCAGAUGGAAUCAAUGGCCAUGAAGGUUCCUUCUAGCUUCUUCGAGCAUUGAGGUAAACAUCCAGGAUCCUUAGAAUAAUAGAGUGUAGAAUAGUAGAAUAGUAGAAUAGAAUAAUAGAAUAAUCCUUAGAAUGUCGGAGUGUGAAAGAAUAUUUGUUUCUGCCACUUUCUUGGCAUCUCAUCUUUACUUCUUUUUCAUUCUAAUACAUUCUGCCUGUCUGGUUUCAGUAUCAAGACAGGACAGGACUUAGACUGGGUAAAUCAUCUAAACUCCUUAGGCUUCAGUUUCUUCAUCUGUAAAACGAGGAGUUGGAAUGAAUGGCUUAGUAUCAGAGAUCCAAGAUUCAGAGUCAAAAAGCAUAUUAGAGAUGGACCAACUGGUCCAUUUGUCUCAUCUUAUAAUGGAGAAAAUGGAAGUUGUUGAAUUGGGAUUACAUCCCACUGUGGUGUUAUCUGAGUUCUUAAUGCCUAGUUCUACAUUCUCUGAAGAGUGAGCCCACAGAAAUGUCUCCUAUGUCAUUGUUAUUAAGUCAUUUCAGCCAUGUCUGACUCUUUGUGACCUCAUUUGGGGUUUCCUUGGCAGAGAUACUCUCGUGGUUUGCCAUUUCAUUUUCCAACUCAUUUUACAGAGGAGUAAACUGGGGCCAAGAAGUUUAAGUGACUUGUCCAGGGUCACACAGCUAGUAAGUGUCUGAAGCUGGAUUUAAAUUUGUGUCUUCCUGACUCCAGGCCGAGCAUUAUAUCCAUUGCCCACUUUCUUGGCAUCUCAUCUUUACUUCUUUUUCAUUCUAAUACAUUCUGCCUGUCUGGUUUCAGUAUCAAGACAGGACAGGACUUAGACUGGGUAAAUCAUCUAAACUCCUUAGGCUUCAGUUUCUUCAUUUGUAAAACGAGGAGUUGGAAUGAAUGGCUUCGGAGAACCUGUAGGACACUAGGCUCCUGAUCCUGUCACACUCUCUAAUGCUCAGUUUCUUUGUCUAUAAAAUGAGGAAGUUGGACUACAGGCUUUCUGAGGACCCUUCUACUUCUAAAUUUAGAAUUAUAAAAACAGAACAUUAGCACCUAGAGGGCAUAGGCUGUCUUACUUUUAUAUUUAUAUCUCCAGGGCUGGCUCAACAGAUGGCAGCUAAUACAUGCUUGCUGGUUAAUUGAUAAAUUAAAUUAAAAAUGACUUACUUAAAUUAACUUUUAAUUAAAUUAAUUAAGAAUUAAAUCUAAAUGGCUGGCCAAAGUCUGAAUGAUCCAAUCAAUUAAUCAGUAAACUUUUAUUAAGUACCUAUUAUGUGCCAGGCACUGUGCUAAUAUCUGGGUAUACCCAAUAGGCAAAAGAUAGUCCUUGCUCUCAAGAAACUUCCAAACCAAUGGGAGAAGUAGCCUGCAAAGAAAUAUAUACAAAGCAAGCUGUAGGGGGGCAGCUGGGUAUCUCAGUGGAUUGAGAGCCAGACCAAGAGACAGGAGGUCCUGGGUUCAAAUUUGGCCUCAGAUACUUCCUAG
Monodelphis domestica (gray short-tailed opossum) is the source of this 1583-nucleotide long non-coding RNA. NCBI's taxonomy places the organism in Eukaryota, Metazoa, Chordata, Mammalia, Didelphimorphia, Didelphidae. The record is from Ensembl.